This 698-nucleotide ribosomal RNA is filed under the name uncultured organism. RNAcentral's name for it is "bacterial SSU rRNA". It matches the Rfam family "Bacterial small subunit ribosomal RNA", at positions 102 to 833 of the family's 1533-position model. The record is from RNAcentral.
ACGGCUGAGUAACGCGUGGGAACGUACCCUGAACACUGGCAUAGCCCCGCGAAAGUGGGGGUAAUUCCAGAUAUGUCUUCGGAUGAAAGCUUUUGCGGUUCAGGAUCGGCCCGCGUUCUAUCAGGUUGUUGGUGGGGUAAAUGCCUACCAAGCCUAUGACGGAUAGCUGGUCUGAGAGGAUGAUCAGCCAGACUGGGACUGUGACACGGCCCAGACUCCUACGGGAGGCAGCAACUAGGAAUCGUGCGCAAUGGACGGAAGUCUGACGCCGCGACGCCGCGUGAUGGAUGAAGGUCUUAGGAUCGUAAACAUCUUUUCUGAGGGAACAAGUUCUGAGUGUACCUCAGGAAUAAGUGCCUGCUAACCACGUGCCAGAAGCAUCGGUAAUACGUGGGGCACAAGCGUUAUCCGGAUUUACUGGGCGUAAAGGGAUGCGUAGGCGUCUUUGUAAGUCUGGUGUCAAAUCUUUCGGCUUAACCGAAAAACUGCAUCAGAAACUAUAAAGAUAGAGUCGGGUAGAGAAGAGGGGAAUUCCUGGUGGAGCGGUUAAAUGCAUUGAUAUCAGGAGGAAUACCUAAUGCGAAGGCACCUCUUUGGACCCGUACUGACGCUAAGGCUCGAAAGCGUGGGUAGCAAAACGGAUUAGAUACCCGUGUAGUCCACGCUGUAAACGUUCCCUGCUAGAUGUUUGGUUGUUU